RNAcentral lists this ribosomal RNA (606 nucleotides) under uncultured archaeon. RNAcentral describes it as "bacterial SSU rRNA". It matches the Rfam family "Archaeal small subunit ribosomal RNA", at positions 315 to 921 of the family's 1478-position model. The record is from RNAcentral.
UCCAGGCCCUACGGGGUGCAGCAGGCGCGAAACCUCCGCAAUGUGAGAAAUCGCGACGGGGGGAUCCCAAGUGCCAUUCUUAACGGGAUGGCUUUUCAUUAGUGUAAAGAGCUUUUGGAAUAAGAGCUGGGCAAGACCGGUGCCAGCCGCCGCGGUAACACCGGCAGCUCUAGUGGUAGCAGUUUUUAUUGGGCCUAAAGCGUCCGUAGCCGGUUUAAUAAGUCUCUGGUGAAAUCCUGCAGCUUAACUGUGGGAAUUGCUGGAGAUACUAUUAGACUUGAGAUCGGGAGAGGUUAGAGGUACUCCCAGGGUAGAGGUGAAAUUCUAUAAUCCUGGGAGGACCGCCUGUUGCGAAGGCGUCUGACUGGAACGAUUCUGACGGUGAGGGACGAAAGCUAGGGGCGCGAACCGGAUUAGAUACCCGGGUAGUCCUAGCUGUAAACGAUGCGGACUUGGUGUUGGGGUGGCUUUGAGCUGUCCCAGUGCCGAAGGGAAGCUGUUAAGUCCGCCGCCUGGGAAGUACGGUCGCAAGACUGAAACCUAAAGGAAUUGGCGGGGGAGCACCACAACGCGUGGAGCCUGCGGUUUAAUUGGAGUCAACGCCGG